CUCACUGCUCAGUGGGCCCAGGCAUUUAGCUCAGGGACUUCACGGGGCUUGCCAAGGCCUUGCUGAGGGAGGGGAAACAGGCGCACCGCCGUGCCAGCCGGCUCACCAGCCAGACGCAAGCCACGCUCCAACAGGUGUCCCGGCAGGCGCUGGCGUCUGAAGCACACAGACAGGAGCUGGAGGAAGCUGAGCGGGUGGGUGCUGGGCUGAGCGAGAUGGAGCAGCAGAUCCGGGAAUCGCGUAUCUCACUGGAGAAGGACAUCGAGGCCUUGUCAGAGCUGCUUGCCAGGCUGGGGUCGCUGGACACCCAUCAAGCCCCAGCCCAGGCCCUGAACGAGACUCAGUGGGCACUAGAACGCCUGAGGCUGCAGCUGGGCUCUCCGGGGUCCUUGCAGAGGAAACUCAGUCUGCUGGAGCAGGAAUCCCAGCAGCAGGAGCUGCAGAUCCAGGGCUUCGAGAGUGACCUCGCCGAGAUCCGCGCCGACAAACAGAACCUGGAGGCCAUUCUGCACAGCCUGCCGGAGAACUGUGCCAGCUGGCAGUGAGGGCCACCCAGAUCCCCGGCACACACUCCCCCACCUGCUGUUUACAUGACCCAGGGUGUGCGCACUACCCCACAGGUGUGCCCAUACAGACGUGCCCCGGAGCCGGCUGCUGUGAACUCGCCCCUGUGUGAAUAGUCACACUCCCUGCCGAUUCUGUUUGUGGCUUCUUCCCUGCCAGCAGGACUGAGUGUGCGUACCCAGUUCACCGAGACAUCAGUGCACACUCUCACCCCUGCACAUGCAUAAACAGGCACACCC
RNAcentral lists this small RNA (803 nucleotides) under Pongo abelii (Sumatran orangutan). RNAcentral's name for it is "processed transcript". Lineage: Eukaryota; Metazoa; Chordata; Mammalia; Primates; Hominidae. The record is from RNAcentral.